Molecule: ribosomal RNA, 1366 nt
Filed under: Staphylococcus epidermidis
Lineage: Bacteria; Bacillati; Bacillota; Bacilli; Caryophanales; Staphylococcaceae
Description: bacterial SSU rRNA
Rfam family: Bacterial small subunit ribosomal RNA
Source: RNAcentral
GCAUGCUCCUCGCUCAGAGCAGACGAGGCAGCUGUGCUCCUCUGACGUUAGCGGCGGACGGGCCGGAGCUAAUACCGGAUAAUAUAUUGAACCGCAUGGUUCAAUAGUGAAAGACGGUUUUGCUGUCACUUAUAGAUGGAUCCGCGCCGCAUUAGCCAAGGCAACGAUGCGUAGCCGACCUGAGAGGGUGAUCGGCCACACUGGAACUGAGACACGGUCCAGACUCCUACGGGAGGCAGCAGUAGGGAAUCUUCCGCAAUGGGCGAAAGCCUGACGGAGCAACGCCGCGUGAGUGAUGAAGGUCUUCGGAUCGUAAAACUCUGUUAUUAGGGAAGAACAAAUGUGUAAGUAACUAUGCACGUCUUGACGGUACCUAAUCAGAAAGCCACGGCUAACUACGUGCCAGCAGCCGCGGUAAUACGUAGGUGGCAAGCGUUAUCCGGAAUUAUUGGGCGUAAAGCGCGCGUAGGCGGUUUUUUAAGUCUGAUGUGAAAGCCCACGGCUCAACCGUGGAGGGUCAUUGGAAACUGGAAAACUUGAGUGCAGAAGAGGAAAGUGGAAUUCCAUGUGUAGCGGUGAAAUGCGCAGAGAUAUGGAGGAACACCAGUGGCGAAGGCGACUUUCUGGUCUGUAACUGACGCUGAUGUGCGAAAGCGUGGGGAUCAAACAGGAUUAGAUACCCUGGUAGUCCACGCCGUAAACGAUGAGUGCUAAGUGUUACGGGGUUUCCGCCCCCUUACUGCUGCAGCUAACGCAUUAACCACUCCGCCUGGGGGAGUACGACCGCAAGGGUGAAACUCAAAGGAAUUGACGGAGGACCCGCACAAGCCGGUGGAGCAGGUGAGUUUAAUUCGAAGCAACGCGAAGAACCUUACCAAAUCUUGACAUCCUCUGACCCCUCUAGAGAUAGAGUUUUCCCCUUCGGGGGACAGAGUGACAGGUGGUGCAUGGUUGUCGUCAGCUCGUGUCGUGAGAUGUUGGGUUAAGUCCCGCAACGAGCGCAACCCUUAAGCUUAGUUGCCAUCAUUAAGUUGGGCACUCUAAGUUGACUGCCGGUGACAAACCGGAGGAAGGUGGGGAUGACGUCAAAUCAUCAUGCCCCUUAUGAUUUGGGCUACACACGUGCUACAAUGGACAAUACAAAGGGCAGCGAAACCGCGAGGUCAAGCAAAUCCCAUAAAGUUGUUCUCAGUUCGGAUUGUAGUCUGCAACUCGACUAUAUGAAGCGGGAAUCGUUAGUAAUCGUAGAUCAGCAUGAUACGGUGAAAAGGUUCCCGGGUAUUGUACUCCCGGCCCAUCACGUCGUAACAAGGUAACCCUAGAGUUUGCUCCUGGCUCAGGAAGUCGUAACAACGUAACCGUAGAG